GGGGGGAGGUCGGAUCCUGGGCUGUGUCCUGGAGCCCUGUGCUCCUGGCCUGCACUGUUGGAUUCGCGCUACCAGCCGCGUAGCUGCCU
This 89-nucleotide microRNA precursor is filed under the name Canis lupus familiaris (dog). RNAcentral's name for it is "mir-8799 microRNA precursor family". It matches the Rfam family "mir-8799 microRNA precursor family". Lineage: Eukaryota; Metazoa; Chordata; Mammalia; Carnivora; Canidae. The record is from Rfam by way of RNAcentral. RNAcentral also lists the same sequence under 1 other name.